This 114-nucleotide ribozyme is filed under the name Aedes aegypti (yellow fever mosquito). RNAcentral describes it as "drz-agam-1 ribozyme". It matches the Rfam family "drz-agam-1 ribozyme". Lineage: Eukaryota; Metazoa; Arthropoda; Insecta; Diptera; Culicidae. The record is from Rfam by way of RNAcentral.
UGCCCAGCAACUUUUAUCCCUACCAUCUCAUGGUACUGGCCGGGGUACGAGCAACCUUAGGGAAUCUGGUAAAAAACUUUGGUGGGAGCUCUGGUCGUAUGCUGACAGGAAAGA